CAUACUUUAUUACAAACUAUGUAUUCUUUUAGUACUUAUGAAUAGUGAUACAUAUCUACUCAAUGGAACUACCUAUACAUUUUCAACGCAAAAGCAAUAGAUAUAAGUAAAAUGUUUAAAUAAUACUGCACUGUCUGUUUCAUGGUUGCCAUAAGAUCUGUACAUAUAUUAUUAUACUGCAGCAUAUUUAAAAAUUAAUCGUGAUAAAACAAAAAUAUAUUUUCUUAAAAAUGUUCUUCUAAAUCAAUAGACAAUCCAGUUCGCGCAAAAAUACGCAAUGCCUAAUAAAAACAUUUAGAUUUUAAACAAUUGAGAAAUAAAUAACAGUUAACAAUUAUUAUUUAUCAAUAUGAAGAUGACAAAACGCAAGGAAUGAUGAAUUGAAAUUGAAAGUUCAUCUAUUCAAAUUUUGAUAAAAAUUUUUUCGUAGUAGUUGUUUAGCUGUUUUAUUUAUUUGCAUUAUUUACAGUUAUAUGUGAUGCAAGGAAUACAAAAAUGGAUGCAACAGGAUCAAUAUCCCCAAAUAUGAAGGAACAAAUAUUUAUUAUUAGGAAGCUGCAUAAUUAUCUGGUAAGGACAAUAUAUUUUAAGUAUAACGAAUAUUUUGUGAAUAUUCUUGAAGAAUAAUAUAUAAAUCAUACACCUUAUUCAGCCAAAAUGGUGUACAUGCAAGCUAUGAAGAAAUAAUAUUUAAUACCAAAAAAUUGUUUACAUAAUUUUUUUUAUACUUUGAUAAAUAUAUCUUAAAGACAAGUUUUCCAUUCUUAUUGUAAUAAAUAUGUAACAAACCAAAAAAAAAGGACUUUGGUAAAUUAAAACAGUAAUUUAUUAUUAUAUUAUUAAUUUGGAUAUUUCAUUUUCAGUUGUCCAGAAGGAGUAUACAAUUACACUUACCUGCAAACAACAGAAAGAAUACGCCCAAAUAAGGAAAUCCAUAUACCCCCAACUACAAUGAAUCUCUUACACUGUCAUCAACUUUUAGAGAAAUGAAUGAGAAUCAACACUUUAUUCUCACAUUUCAGACAAUCAAAUCUGUAAAAGUUAAUGUUAUUCAGUUAAAAAAAUAAAAAUAAAUAUGAUUAUUUUAAUUUACAGAUUCUAUCCAGAGGAAAUGUAUGGUAAAUGGAAUGUUGGCUGGCUUAAUCUUCUAUAAUAAGACUUAUUCAGGACAUAACAGCUGAGUUAGAAAAUGUAAGUUUAGAUAAUUUUUUCUUCUUAUUUUCAAAUUCCUAUUAUUAAUAGUGUUAUGGUAUAAGUUACAGUAGCUGGAUGUGAUGCAACAUUUA
Molecule: non-coding RNA, 1286 nt
Organism: Cinara cedri
Lineage: Eukaryota; Metazoa; Arthropoda; Insecta; Hemiptera; Aphididae
Source: the annotation of a GenBank genome assembly